This 279-nucleotide ribosomal RNA is filed under the name uncultured bacterium. Its description in RNAcentral is "partial 16S ribosomal RNA". It matches the Rfam family "Bacterial small subunit ribosomal RNA", at positions 506 to 784 of the family's 1533-position model. The record is from RNAcentral.
UGCCAGCCGCCGCGGUAAUACGGAGGGUGCAAGCGUUGUUCGGAUUUACUGGGCGUAAAGCGCGCGCAGGCGGAUUGAUAAGUCGGAUGUGAAAUCCCGGGGCUCAACCCCGGAACUGCGUCCGAAACUAUUAGUCUAGAGUCUCACAGGGGGUAGGGGAAUUUCACGUGUAGGGGUAAAAUCCGUAGAGAUGUGAAGGAACACCAGUGGCGAAGGCGCCUACCUGGAUGAGUACUGACGCUGAGGCGCGAAAGCGUGGGGAGCAAACAGGAUUAGAUA